This 160-nucleotide ribosomal RNA is filed under the name Candelariella xanthostigma. RNAcentral describes it as "5.8S ribosomal RNA". It matches the Rfam family "5.8S ribosomal RNA". From Rfam's summary of the family: 5.8S ribosomal RNA (5.8S rRNA) is a component of the large subunit of the eukaryotic ribosome. Lineage: Eukaryota; Fungi; Ascomycota; Candelariomycetes; Candelariales; Candelariaceae. The record is from RNAcentral.
AAAACUUUCAACAACGGAUCUCUUGGUUCUGGCAUCGAUGAAGAACGCAGCGAAAUGCGAUAAGUAAUGUGAAUUGCAGAAUUCAGUGAAUCAUCGAAUCUUUGAACGCACAUUGCGCCCCUUGGUAUUCCGAGGGGCAUGCCUGUUCGAGCGUCAUGAC